UUUGCUUAUGUCACAAUCCCUGUCUCUCUACCAUGCUAGGUAGAUAGCAGGAUGCGGCCUUGUGGGUGGUAGCUGGUAUGUUGGUGGAAACUCCAUGCUUCCAUGGAACCAGCUGUAGAGGAGUGGUGAUGCAAUGAGCAUCCUGGAAGUUUAGUUGUCAUUUGUCACCUUUUGGAUAAUGGAGUAGAUUUCUGAAGCUAUUUCUCCUUGUUUGGUGUUCUGCCUGCAAUUUGGACAAGUGGACUUCAGAUUAUGUCUUCGUAGACUGAAAGGCUUGGCAUAAGAAGCCUCUCACCCUAAACAUCACAGCUGGGAAUAUGCUGGACCACAACUAAAGCCAGCAUGGCACUGACUCUGACCAAAGGAUUAGCUUCCAGGGGUCCUAGCAAGGUGCAUCACAGUGUCAAGAAUGCACUGCAUUCAGAGAAGUUCAAACUAUGGAUUCCCACCAG
RNAcentral lists this long non-coding RNA (452 nucleotides) under Homo sapiens (human). Its description in RNAcentral is "HSALNT0314976". The record is from RNAcentral. Lineage: Eukaryota; Metazoa; Chordata; Mammalia; Primates; Hominidae.